RNAcentral lists this long non-coding RNA (1264 nucleotides) under Pan troglodytes (chimpanzee). Its description in RNAcentral is "long non-coding RNA NONPTRT003121". Lineage: Eukaryota; Metazoa; Chordata; Mammalia; Primates; Hominidae. The record is from RNAcentral.
CCUGCCCAACCUGCCACAACCAGCGGCGGUGGACCCGAGCCAGCCCACAGCCCCGACCUGAGAAACAUCUGUAAAAUGGGACAGCACCAUCACGGCUGCUGGGAGACCACACACCCCAACACCAACCCUGGUUCUUGGAAAUCAAUCCAGGUUGGAGCUUCACAACGAGCAAAGCCAGCAGAGGACAAGCAGGCUGGCUCUGGACCGCACUCACAAAGGUAGCUAAAGCAAGGCGGCCACUGCACCCAGAAGCACAGCCUGGCUACCGCCCCAGGCCAGGCUGGCAGGGCAUGAUGGCCAGGGAAGGAAGGCAGGACGGGCCGGGUACCAUCCCACGCUCCUCUCAAGUCCUGCCUCGGACAGGGAUCCAGACUCCUGCCAAGACCACGACAAGCACGCACCCCUCACACAAGGUACACCUUGCUCCCCUAGGUCCCCUUCGUGGGGCAGAAACCCACGCCUGGAGGAGGAGCCAACCCUUCCAGGUGCCUCAGGAUGGGACACUCGGCUUUCCCGGGGCCGAGGACCACACCCUGGCCUCAAGGCCGAGGCUGAUGCCACUUCCAGCACCCACACUGACACCAUCCACCUGGUACAGGCUCUGGCAAACAGCGCUACUGCAGCGGUCACUGGACGGUCACACAGAGGAGGGCCUGAGAUUCUGUCAGCCGGUUCCAUCUCCACAACCCAGCUGCCCCCACCACCCACAGACAGGCACACAAACACACACAUACACACAGAGAUACGCACACACAUGCACACGCACACAGCCAUACAGACACCACGCACGCAGAGACAUACAGACACCAUGCAUGCACACAGACACACCACACACACGACACCACAUGCACAAAGACAUACAGACACCACGCACACAGACACCACACACGCACACAGACAGACACCAUGCACACAGACACUACACAUGCACACAUACAAACACGCACACAGACAUAAACACCAUACACCUACACAUACAAACAAACAUGCACACAGACAUGCAGACUCCACACACACAUGCAGAGCCACACAGGGGCUCAAUGACCGCUUCCGCCCUGGGUGAGAACACGGGCUUCAGCCUUCCCCUUCUGGACAACACACACCAAACCCCAACAGGGCCACAAACAGGAACAGCAGCGCAGGCUGAGCACUGUCCACUCCCACAACAAAGCAGCAGAGACGCAGCGUGGCCCCAGCCCCAAGAAGGAUGGUGCCCUCGGCCAGGACAGGAGGACAAACACAUAGCACUGGAGCAGAGUGGGGG